This 45-nucleotide non-coding RNA is filed under the name Trichobilharzia regenti. Lineage: Eukaryota; Metazoa; Platyhelminthes; Trematoda; Strigeidida; Schistosomatidae. The record is from RNAcentral.
AUCCAGAUGACGAGUCUCAAACAGGACUAAAUGAGCCACCUGGAU